AGGGGGCAAACGAGUUAACACUCAACCCAAGGGGCAAACAUGCGUCAACAAAUAUUGUUGGCUUGCCCACUAAAGGGAGGAUUCAAGACAAAGAGACGGGUAAUUUAGUGACAUCCAAGAAACGCUGAGAGUGGCUCACCCAAGAGGGAGCAGAGAGCAGCCAGAAGAAGUUACUAAACAACAUCGACAAAAAGAGAAUAUCUACAGAUCCUCAUGUGCCAGAGCACUAGUUCCAAGGAGCCUACAGGCGCUCAAGGAUAAAUUUACUGGUCCUCCAAGAGAAGUAGCCUCCACGCCUCAA
This 301-nucleotide long non-coding RNA is filed under the name Brassica napus (rape). RNAcentral's name for it is "long non-coding RNA (BNAP_LNC005888)". The record is from RNAcentral. Lineage: Eukaryota; Viridiplantae; Streptophyta; Magnoliopsida; Brassicales; Brassicaceae.